AAGGGAAAUGCAUCUUUGGCCUCUAGUCUUCAUGUAAUGAACUGUAACUUUCAGACCAGCAGAUUAAGUGCAUAAGUGAAGGUGAGAAUUGAGUGAGAGACAAUUUCCAUCUGAGUAUGCUAUGAGCACGGGCCACCUUAUGAUCAAAUUUGGGAGUGCUCCUGGUGGAAGGCACUGGGGAGAGUUAGAGAGAGAAAGAAGUUAUGUUAUGUUCCUGGCCCUUAUGAAUAGCCCUGUUAUAGAUCAUUGAUAAGCUGAUUUGCUCAAAUAAGCCUACGAGUGCUUAAAAUUCAAAUGUGUUCUGUACAUCGGCCAAUCUCUAGUUGCCAUAAAUAUAAGUAUUGAGUGCCUACUGUAUCCACCAGUUUUGUUGCAAAGGCUUCCUGUUUUGCAGCAUGCUUCUUACGUGUACACAGUAAUUAUCCUUACCCGAACACCAAAGGCAGGGUUAGCUGCAGUUAAGCCACAGUGAGGAUAUUAUAACUGUGGGUAAAGACCAAAAUACAUAUAGGAGAUAAAUAUUUGGAACAGACAGUGGCGCCGACAGAUUACUGGAAUGACAGGAAUUAGGUGGGAUUACUGUGGUAAACCGCACUGAAGGAGAUGUCUUAAGCAAUAUUUAGGAGCUGGUAGUUCUGAGCAAGGGAAACAACUUCUUCAGCUAAGGGUGUGAAGAGAGGCAAAAAAGGGAAGCAGUGUACUUUCUGCAAGGAUGGCCUUCCCUUCCAUAGCCACCAGCAUGUCUUGCCCCUCUGGCCUGAAGCAGUGAUCUAAUAAAGGGAGGGAAGAGGGCAGGAUGCCUUAAAAAAAAAAAAAUGUAGCGUUCCAUCCUGUGUCUCAGUUGCCACAUAAAAGUUCCAUUUCAUAAUCAAAGGUUGAAGAAGAAAGUAACUGACUUGCUUAACUAGAAAAGAGCACAUGGGACCUAAUACAGUGAAGGAUGAAAGCAGUUAGACAGCCAAAGGCAGGAACAGACGAUUUGGCAAGGCAGAUGGAAGUCCCAGGGUCAGCAGUUAACCUGGAAGCAUUCUAAGCUCAUUGACGUGGCCCAGGUGACACCCAAAGAUGGUGGUGGUUUGGAAACUACAGGACAGACCGGAAGUGGUGGUUUCCUGGGCUGUGAGGUGAGAAGAGAAGUUAGGGAGGGCAGCAA
RNAcentral lists this long non-coding RNA (1153 nucleotides) under Bos taurus (domestic cattle). RNAcentral's name for it is "long non-coding RNA NONBTAT025803". Lineage: Eukaryota; Metazoa; Chordata; Mammalia; Artiodactyla; Bovidae. The record is from RNAcentral.